RNAcentral lists this ribosomal RNA (492 nucleotides) under uncultured bacterium. RNAcentral's name for it is "partial 16S ribosomal RNA". It matches the Rfam family "Bacterial small subunit ribosomal RNA", at positions 29 to 507 of the family's 1533-position model. The record is from RNAcentral.
AGUGAACGCUGGCGGUAGGCCUAACACAUGCAAGUCGAACGGCAGCACAGUAAGAGCUUGCUCUUACGGGUGGCGAGUGGCGGACGGGUGAGGAAUACAUCGGAAUCUACUUUUUCGUGGGGGAUAACGUAGGGAAACUUACGCUAAUACCGCAUACGACCUACGGGUGAAAGCAGGGGAUCUUCGGACCUUGCGCGAUUGUAUGAGCCGAUGUCGGAUUAGCUAGUUGACAGGGUAAAGGCUCACCAAGGCAACGAUGCGUAGCCGGUCUGAGAGGAUGAUCAGCCACACUGGAACUGAGACACGGUCCAGACUCCUACGGGAGGCAGCAGUGGGGAAUAUUGCGCAAUGGGCGCAAGCCUGACGCAGCAAUACCGCGUGAGUGAAGAAGGUCUUCGGGUCGUAAAGCCCUUUUGUUGGGAAAGAACAGCAGCAGGAGUAUACCCGGCUGUCCUGACGGUACCUAAAGAAUAAGCACCGGCUAACUUCGUG